Small nucleolar RNA from Callithrix jacchus (white-tufted-ear marmoset), 85 nucleotides. Its record names the gene U3. It matches the Rfam family "Small nucleolar RNA U3". From Rfam's summary of the family: Small nucleolar RNAs (snoRNAs) are involved in the processing and modification of rRNA in the nucleolus. Lineage: Eukaryota; Metazoa; Chordata; Mammalia; Primates; Cebidae. The record is from Ensembl.
AAGACUAUAUUUCAGGGAUCAUUUCUAUAGUUUGUUACUAGAGAAGUUUCUCUGAACAUGUAGAACACCGCAGAAUGGCGGCCAU